RNAcentral lists this ribosomal RNA (308 nucleotides) under uncultured bacterium. Its description in RNAcentral is "bacterial SSU rRNA". It matches the Rfam family "Bacterial small subunit ribosomal RNA", at positions 30 to 334 of the family's 1533-position model. The record is from RNAcentral.
AUUGAACGCUGGCGGUAUGCUUAACACAUGCAAGUCGAACGGUAGCAGCAUCUAGCUUGCUAGAUGGCUGACGAGUGGCGGACGGGUGAGUAACGCGUAGGAAUCUGUCUAGGAGUCUGGGGCAACAUGGGGAAACUCAUGCUAAUACCAGAUACGCUCUUCGGAGGAAAGGCGGGUCGUAAGACCUGUCACUCUUAGGUGAGCCUGCGUUGGAUUAGCUUGUUGGUGGGGUAAAGGCCUACCAAGGCUACGAUCCAUAGCUGUUCUGAGAGGAAGAUCAGCCACAUUGGGACUGAGACACGGCCCAA